This 322-nucleotide ribosomal RNA is filed under the name uncultured eukaryote. Its description in RNAcentral is "partial 18S ribosomal RNA". It matches the Rfam family "Eukaryotic small subunit ribosomal RNA", at positions 1470 to 1796 of the family's 1831-position model. The record is from RNAcentral.
CCCUUAGAUGUUCUGGGCCGCACGCGUGCUACACUGGGUGGAUCAGCGGGUCAGGUUGCGCGAAAGUGUUUCCUAAUCUUGAAAUCCGCUCGUGAUGGGGAUUGACGGUUGCAAUUUUCCGUCAUGAACGAGGAAUACCUUGUAAGCGCGGGUCAUCAUCCCGCGCUGAAUACGUCCCUGCCCUUUGUACACACCGCCCGUCGCUCCUACCGAUUGAGUGGUCCGGUGAGGCUUUGGGAUCUGAGCAAAAAGAGCGUUUCGCUCGUUUGGCUCGGAAAACUCAGUCGAACCUUAUCAUUUAGAGGAAGGAGAAGUCGUAACA